RNAcentral lists this ribosomal RNA (300 nucleotides) under uncultured bacterium. RNAcentral describes it as "bacterial SSU rRNA". It matches the Rfam family "Bacterial small subunit ribosomal RNA", at positions 28 to 301 of the family's 1533-position model. The record is from RNAcentral.
GACGAACGCUGGCGGCGUGCCUAAUACAUGCAAGUCGAACGCUUCUUUUUCCACCGGAGCUUGCUCCACCGGAAAAAGAGGAGUGGCGAACGGGUGAGUAACACGUGGGUAACCUGCCCAUCAGAAGGGGAUAACACUUGGAAACAGGUGCUAAUACCGUAUAACAUGUAACGACAUGUUUGUAUUGUAAGGACGCUUCGGUUGGUCGCUGAUGGAGUGGACCCGGCCGGUGGCAUUAGUCUAGUUGGUUGGAGGUAAACGGCUCACCAAGGCGACGAUGCAUAGCCGACCUGAGAGGGU